Molecule: ribosomal RNA, 269 nt
Filed under: uncultured prokaryote
Description: partial 16S ribosomal RNA
Rfam family: Bacterial small subunit ribosomal RNA
Source: RNAcentral
UACGGAGGAUCCGAGCGUUAUCCGGAUUUAUUGGGUUUAAAGGGUGCGCAGGCGGGAGAUUAAGUCGGCGGUGAAAUUUUGCAGCUCAACUGUAAAAGUGCCUUCGAUACUGGUUUCCUUGAGUGUGGAUGAAGUAGGCGGAAUUUGUGGUGUAGCGGUGAAAUGCAUAGAUAUCACGAGGAACUCCGAUUGCGUAGGCAGCUUACUAAACCAUAACUGACGCUCAUGCACGAAGGCGUGGGGAUCAAACAGGAUUAGAUACCCCCGUA